UACGUAGGGUGCGAGCGUUGUCCGGAAUUAUUGGGCGUAAAGGGCUCGUAGGCGGUCUGUCGCGUCGGGAGUGAAAACUCAGGGCUUAACCCUGAGCCUGCUUCCGAUACGGGCAGACUAGAGGUAUGCAGGGGAGAACGGAAUUCCUGGUGUAGCGGUGGAAUGCGCAGAUAUCAGGAGGAACACCAAUAGCGAAGGCAGCUCGCUGGGACGGUAUUGACGCUAAGGCGCGAAAGCGUGGGGAGCAAACAGG
Molecule: ribosomal RNA, 253 nt
Filed under: uncultured bacterium
Lineage: Bacteria
Description: partial 16S ribosomal RNA
Rfam family: Bacterial small subunit ribosomal RNA
Source: RNAcentral